RNAcentral lists this ribosomal RNA (1180 nucleotides) under uncultured organism. Its description in RNAcentral is "bacterial SSU rRNA". It matches the Rfam family "Bacterial small subunit ribosomal RNA", at positions 288 to 1470 of the family's 1533-position model. The record is from RNAcentral.
GGGCCUGAGAGGGUAGUCCCCCACACUGGUACUGAGACACGGACCAGACUCCUACGGGAGGCAGCAGUGAGGAAUAUUGGUCAAUGGGCGCAAGCCUGAACCAGCCAUGCCGCGUGCAAGAAGACGGCCCCUACGGGGUUGAAAACUGCUUUGGCACGGGGAAGAACUUCCCCGACGUGUCCGGGGAUUGACUGUCCCGUGAGAAUAAGCAUCGGCUAACUCCGUGCCAGCAGCCGCGGUAAUACGGAGGAUGCUAGCGUUAUCCGGAUUUAUUGGGUUUCCACGGGUGCGUAGGCUGGCGGAUAAGUCCAGUGGUGACAAUCCUGCAGCUUAACUGUAGAAUUGCCAUUGAUACUGUUCGUCUUGAGUUCGGUUUGAGGUAGGCGGAAUGUGUAAUGUAGCGGUGAAAUGCUUAGAUAUUACACAGAACACCGAUUGCGUAGGCAGCUUACUAAGCCGUUACUGACGCUGAGGCACGAAAGCGUGGGGAGCGAACAGGAUUAGAUACCCUGGUAGUCCACGCCGUAAACGAUGAUCACUAGCUGUUGGCGAUACAUUGUCAGCGGCAAAGCGAAAGCAUUAAGUGAUCCACCUGGGGAGUACGGCCGCAAGGUUGAAACUCAAAGGAAUUGACGGGGGCCCGCACAAGCGGUGGAACAUGUGGUUUAAUUCGAUGAUACGCGAGGAACCUUACCUGGGCUUAAAUGUUGGGUGCAUUCCCGGGAAACCGGGAUUCCCUUCGGGGCUUCCAACAAGGUGCUGCAUGGUUGUCGUCAGCUCGUGCCGUGAGGUGUCGGGUUAAGUCCCAUAACGAGCGCAACCCCUAUCGUUAGUUGCCAUCGGGUCAUGCCGGGGACUCUAGCGAAACUGCCGGUGUAAACCGCGAGGAAGGUGGGGAUGACGUCAAAUCAGCACGGCCCUUAUGUCCAGGGCUACACACGUGUUACAAUGGCCGGUACAGAGGGCAGCUACCUGGUGACAGGGUGCAAAUCUCGAAAGCCGGUCCUAGUUCGGAUUGGAGUCUGCAACUCGACUUCAUGAAGCUGGAAUCGCUAGUAAUCGCGCAUCAGCCAUGGCGCGGUGAAUACGUUCCCGGGCCUUGUACACACCGCCCGUCAAGCCAUGGAAGCCGGGGGUACCUGAAGUCUGCAACCGCGAGGAGCGGCCUAGGGUAAAACUG